RNAcentral lists this ribosomal RNA (505 nucleotides) under Candida albicans. RNAcentral describes it as "eukaryotic LSU rRNA". The stretch from base 127 to 280 matches the Rfam family "5.8S ribosomal RNA". Lineage: Eukaryota; Fungi; Ascomycota; Pichiomycetes; Serinales; Debaryomycetaceae. The record is from RNAcentral.
UUGCACCACAUGUGUUUUUCUUUGAAACAAACUUGCUUUGGCGGUGGGCCCAGCCUGCCGCCAGAGGUCUAAACUUACAACCAAUUUUUUAUCAACUUGUCACACCAGAUUAUUACUAAUAGUCAAAACUUUCAACAACGGAUCUCUUGGUUCUCGCAUCGAUGAAGAACGCAGCGAAAUGCGAUACGUAAUAUGAAUUGCAGAUAUUCGUGAAUCAUCGAAUCUUUGAACGCACAUUGCGCCCUCUGGUAUUCCGGAGGGCAUGCCUGUUUGAGCGUCGUUUCUCCCUCAAACCGCUGGGUUUGGUGUUGAGCAAUACGACUUGGGUUUGCUUGAAAGACGGUAGUGGUAAGGCGGGAUCGCUUUGACAAUGGCUUAGGUCUAACCAAAAACAUUGCUUGCGGCGGUAACGUCCACCACGUAUAUCUUCAAACUUUGACCUCAAAUCAGGUAGGACUACCCGCUGAACUUAAGCAUAUCAAUAAGCGGAGGGAAAAGAAUUUUU